This 290-nucleotide ribosomal RNA is filed under the name uncultured bacterium. RNAcentral describes it as "partial 16S ribosomal RNA". It matches the Rfam family "Bacterial small subunit ribosomal RNA", at positions 333 to 620 of the family's 1533-position model. The record is from RNAcentral.
AUUAUCCUACGGGGGGCAGCAGUGAGGAAUAUUGGUCAAUGGUCGGGAGACUGAACCAGCCAAGCCGCGUGAGGGAGGAAGGUACAGAGUAUCGUAAACCUCUUUUGUCAGGGAACAAAGGCGGGGACGUGUCCCCGGAUGAGUGUACCUGAAGAAAAAGCAUCGGCUAACUCCGUGCCAGCAGCCGCGGUAAUACGGAGGAUGCGAGCGUUAUCCGGAUUUAUUGGGUUUAAAGGGUGCGCAGGCGGUCUGUUACGUCAGCGGUCAACACCCGGGGCUCACCCCCGGCC